UACAGAGGUCUCAAGCGUUGUUCGGAUUCAUUGGGCGUAAAGGGUGCGUAGGCGGCGCGGUAAGUCGGGUGUGAAAUCUCGGAGCUUAACUCCGAAACUGCAUUCGAUACUGCCGUGCUUGAGGACUGGAGAGGAGACUGGAAUUUACGGUGUAGCGGUGAAAUGCGUAGAUAUCGUAAGGAAGACCAGUGGCGAAGGCGGGUCUCUGGACCGAUACUGACGCUGAGGAGCGAAAGCGUGGGGAGCGAACAGG
RNAcentral lists this ribosomal RNA (253 nucleotides) under uncultured bacterium. RNAcentral describes it as "partial 16S ribosomal RNA". It matches the Rfam family "Bacterial small subunit ribosomal RNA", at positions 524 to 776 of the family's 1533-position model. The record is from RNAcentral.